AUUGAACGCUGGCGGCAUGCUUUACACAUGCAAGUCGAACGGUAACAGGUUAAGCUGGCGAGUGGCGAACGGGUGAGUAACGUAUCGGAACGUGCCCAGUCGUGGGGGAUAACGUAGUGAAAAUUACGCUAAUACCGCAUACGAUCUGUGGAUGAAAGCGGGGGAUCGCAAGACCUCGCGCGAUUGGAGCGGCCGAUAUCAGAUUAGGUAGUUGGUGGGGUAAAGGCCCACCAAGCCAACGAUCUGUAGCUGGUCUGAGAGGACGACCAGCCACACUGGAACUGAGACACGGUCCAGACUCCUACGGGAGGCAGCAGUGGGGAAUUUUGGACAAUGGACGCAAGUCUGAUCCAGCCAUUCCGCGUGCAGGAUGAAGGCCCUCGGGUUGCAAACUGCUUUUGUACGGAACGAAAAGGUCUCUCUUAAUACGGGGGACUCAUGACGGUACCGUAAGAAUAAGCACCGGCUAACUACGUGCCAGCAGCCGCGGUAA
RNAcentral lists this ribosomal RNA (493 nucleotides) under uncultured bacterium. RNAcentral describes it as "partial 16S ribosomal RNA". It matches the Rfam family "Bacterial small subunit ribosomal RNA", at positions 30 to 523 of the family's 1533-position model. The record is from RNAcentral.